This 147-nucleotide unclassified non-coding RNA is filed under the name soil metagenome. RNAcentral's name for it is "partial internal transcribed spacer 1". The record is from RNAcentral.
UAAUAAGUGUUUUAUGGCACUUUUUAAAUCCAUAUCCACCUUGUGUGCAAUGUCGGUCGAUCUUCUUCUAUGGAGGAUCGACCAAACAUCAACCUUUAUCUUUUAACUCUUUGUCUGAAAAAUAUUAUGAAUAAACAAUUCAAAAUA